AUCGUAGAGGAAAGAUUUGACUGAUUGCAACCUCUCUCAGCAUCGAAAAAAAAUCGAUAUUGAGAUCCUAAACUAAGUUUAGGAUUUAAAAAUGCUAAAGGCAGUGUA
This is a non-coding RNA of Jejuia pallidilutea, 108 nucleotides long. Lineage: Bacteria; Pseudomonadati; Bacteroidota; Flavobacteriia; Flavobacteriales; Flavobacteriaceae. The record is from Rfam.